AGAACGAACGCUGGCGGCAGGCCUCAAACAUGCAAGUCUAGGGGAUGUAGCAAUACAUCACCGGCGGACGGGUGCGUAACACGUGGGAAUAUACCUUUCGGUACGGAACAACUGCGGGAAACUGCAGCUAAUACCGUAUACGUCCUUACGGAGAAAGAUUUAUCGCCGAAGGAUUAGCCCGCGUUCGAUUAGCUAGUUGGUGAGGUAAUGGCUCACCAAGGCGACGAUCGAUAGCUGUUCUGAGAGGAAGAUCAGCCACACUGGGACUGAGACACGGCCCAGACUCCUACGGGAGGCAGCAGUUGGGAAUCUUGGACAAUGGGGGAAACCCUGAUCCAGCCAUGCCGCGUGAGUGAUGAAGGCCUUCGGGUUGUAAAGCUCUUUUACCCGGGAAGAUAAUGACUGUACCGGGAGAAUAGCUCCGGCUAACUUCGUGCCAGCAGCCGC
RNAcentral lists this ribosomal RNA (447 nucleotides) under uncultured bacterium. RNAcentral describes it as "SSU rRNA". It matches the Rfam family "Bacterial small subunit ribosomal RNA", at positions 26 to 518 of the family's 1533-position model. The record is from RNAcentral.